UAAUGUGGCGCACAGCGGACAUCGAAUACCCUAACACCGGAAUCCUGUUGUUAUAAAAUAAUACCAUUAUGAUGAUGGAAUAAAAAACCUAGUUCCUUUCCGAAACCUGUAAUGACAAGAUAAUACUUCGGAUAGCGAAAUAAUACGAAAUAAUACGAAAUAAUACGAGUUUAAUUGUGACGUAUUUGUGAAGAUUUUCCGCUCUGUUUUGAGAUGCUUUCCUGCCUUGACAGAUGAUCAAUGAAGUCGGUCAUUUGGGGAUUCAAAACGACACUAUUUUCUUACCUCAGUUUGACAUUUUACAAACACCACCCCCUUCUAUUCCUACAUCAAUAGGCCUAAGAAGACACAUUGUAGCCUAGUACAAUACCCCGUCUAAACGGAAACAGUCCCGCAGAUACAGCGUCUCAACUUGGAUCACUAAAUAUGAUUGGCCUCAAGUACAACAUGUCUCUACCCAUGGCUGCAGGGGCCUUGUUAGUGGGCAUCCCCUACUCCAUCUCUCUCGUAGCCCAGUGGAUGUAUGGCUGGCCUAACAAGCCAGGCUAUAAAAAGUACAUCGAGGCUCUGAAGCCAAGGCGGAUAUACUGUCUGACUAGAGCUGUGCUGGAGAUGCUGAAAUACUUCCAGUACGGCAAACUCUACUUCCAGUGGAAGUCCUGGUACAAGAAUGUAGAAAACCACAAGCAUUAUGAAAAGGGCAUCAGGUUUGGGCGUCGUAGCAACAAGCUGGAUUUGUAUUAUUCUCCCACGGUGGGCCAGCCAGGCAGUGGACCGGUGCCUGUGGUAGUGUUUAUAUACGGGGGAGCCUGGGGUUCAGGGGAGAGGUCCAUAUACUGUCUACUGGCCAUGCAGAUGGCUAAGGAGCUCAGCGCAACGGUGAUCUGCCCCGACUAUUGCACCUAUCCAAAGGGUAAUGUUUUGUGUAUGGUUCAAGAUAUUGCGGACUGUCUCAUUUGGGCGAGGGACAGCGGCCAUAAAUUCAACUUUGACAAAGAUAACAUUGUGUUAAUCGGCCACUCCGCUGGGGCUCACCUAGCAGCUCUAACCGUCCUGUUCAUGGUCGAGGGACGAGACGAGCUCUUUAUAGAUGCCAAGAAGCAGACAGAGAUCACCAUGGCAAUCAGAGGAGUUACAGGUCACUACGGGGUUUAUAGAGUUACAGGUCAAUACGGGGUUUAUAGAGUUACAGGUCACUAUGUGGUUUAUAGAGUUACAGGUCACUAUGUGGUUUAUAGAGUUACAGGUCAAUACGGGGUUUAUAGAGUUACAGGUCACUAUGUGGUUUAUAGAGUUACAGGUCACUAUGUGGUUUAUAGAGUUACAGGUCACUAUGUGGUUUAUAGAGUUACAGGUCACUAUGUGGUUUAUAGAGUUACAGGUCAAUACGUGGUUUAUAGAGUUACAGGUCACUAUGUGGUUUAUAGAGUUACAGGUCACUACGUGGUUUAUAAAGUUACAGGUCACUAUGUGGUUUAUAGAGUUACAGGUCAAUACGGGGUUUAUAGAGUUACAGGUCACUAUGUGGUUUAUAGAGUUACAGGUCACUACGGGGUUUAUAGAGUUACAGGUCACUACGUGGUUUAUAGAGUUACAGGUCACUAUGUGGUUUAUAGAGUUACAGGUCACUAUGUGGUUUAUAGAGUUACAGGUCACUAUGUGGUUUAUAGAGUUACAGGUCACUAUGUGGUUUAUAGAGUUACAGGUCACUAUGUGGUUUAUAGAGUUACAGGUCACUAUGUGGUUUAUAGAGUUACAGGUCACUAUGUGGUUUAUAGAGUUACAGGUCACUAUGUGGUUUAUAGAGUUACAGGUCACUAUGUGGUUUAUAGAGUUACAGGUCACUACGUGGUUUAUAGAGUUACAGGUCACUAUGUGGUUUAUAGAGUUACAGGUCACUAUGUGGUUUAUAGAGUUACAGGUCACUACGUGGUUUAUAGAUAUUGUCUUAGACAAUCAGACAGCUCAACAUUUGUCUCCGCAUUGAUGAGAUUUUCUUGUUUUUAA
Molecule: long non-coding RNA, 2007 nt
Filed under: Salmo trutta (river trout)
Lineage: Eukaryota; Metazoa; Chordata; Actinopteri; Salmoniformes; Salmonidae
Description: lncRNA (ENSSTUG00000010385.1)
Source: RNAcentral